UCCCUGGUGGCUCAGAGGUUAAAGCGUCUGCCUGAAAUGCAGGAGACCUGGGCUCGAUCCCUGGGUCGGGAA
RNAcentral lists this transfer RNA (72 nucleotides) under Bos taurus (domestic cattle). It matches the Rfam family "tRNA". From Rfam's summary of the family: Transfer RNA (tRNA) molecules are approximately 80 nucleotides in length. Their secondary structure includes four short double-helical elements and three loops (D, anti-codon, and T loops). Lineage: Eukaryota; Metazoa; Chordata; Mammalia; Artiodactyla; Bovidae. The record is from Rfam by way of RNAcentral. RNAcentral also lists the same sequence under 2 other names.